This is a long non-coding RNA of Beta vulgaris subsp. vulgaris (sugar beet), 585 nucleotides long. RefSeq lists it as uncharacterized. The transcript has 2 exons. NCBI's taxonomy places the organism in Eukaryota, Viridiplantae, Streptophyta, Magnoliopsida, Caryophyllales, Amaranthaceae. The record is from RefSeq and is a predicted model, not a curated record.
UAUUCCACUUACUCUUGCCUCAUAUGUGGUACCUCCAUUAUCCCAUAUAUCAGCACUCUAUCUAUAUAUAGGUUAAACUCUUGGAUUUUCUCAGACUUGAUUAAAGCUCAUCAUACUGUUAAAGUUCAUCCUCGAUCUCAAAAAGGAGGAGACAAAAUGAAGGCUGAAGGUGUUGCAGUAAUCCUUAUGAUCGCAACCAUAUGCUUGAUUAUUGGUGGUGAUAACAAUUCGAAAUCUUUAGCAGUGGAUAUACAAGAAGAUUAUGAGCAUCGAAACCCCCAAGAGGAGACUCAAAAAUCUCCAUUUUAUUCUAGCACCGAUAUUAGUUCUCACCACGAGAUUCCAUUAUAUAAAUAUAUCCCUCCAAGAAACAAAAAAUAACUCAAAAGAAGAAAACCAAAGUUUUAUCUAUGUAUGAAAAAUGAAAUAAAUGGCCUCUAAAUAUAAAGUUUGAAAUAUAUAAUGUACCUGUGAUCUUCAGCCUAGUGGCUAGGUACGUAGAUGUAUUUUUCCUAAAGGGUUGUAAGAAACUAAGGAUCAAUAAGUUGUAUAUAUGAAGUAAAUCACAUACUUUGUUUUUAUUUA